UACCAACUGUAAACAAAUAGUGGAGGACUGGAAGAUUGGGUGGAGGGUCAAUAAGGAAAGUGAGAACCUGGUUAAGAGAGAUGAAAUUGCUCUACUUGUGCAGAGUUUUAUGGACCUUGGCAGCUACCACGGAAGAGAAAUGAGGAAAAAAGCAAUGGGAAUACGAAAGAUCUUUCAAGAGUCAAUUGAAAGUGGAUCCAUUCAAGGAAAUAUUAACAAGUUCAUUCGGGAUAUUUCUCGAGGCCCAAGUCAAUAAUGUUUGGUUAUAGAGAAGUUAUGCAGAUAUAGUCUGUAUGAACUAAAUAAAUAUAAAAAUUAUUUCUGUAAUAUGUUUCACUUGGGAAGAGUAUCCAACUCUUUAUUGAAUAAAACACAAACAAGCUAAGCGCUGCCAAUGUUUCUACCUACUGUUAUUCACAGGCAUCCUGCCGAUGUUUCGACAUGCUGCUUUUGUGGAGAAAGAAACUAGUAUCAACUACUUGAUACUGUAAUCUAAUCUGCAAUAUUAGAAAUUUGAUCAUUGCACACAACAAUAAUAUUGUGUGACUUCAUGUCACAGUGACUGAUUAUUCCUCUGUUGUGAAUGUGACUAAGCCCUAAAACAGCUUUCUUUGUGUAUUUUGCACUUCAAACUUGGAUAACAGUUGUUCUUGUGUCACUAUAUAGUAUUUCUCAACAUACUAACAACUCAUAUCUUUUUUAACUUUCCUGUGUCAGUGAUGGUUCAAAAUCACUGUGUGACUAUAGAUUAAGUAAAGGAAAAGGAAUUAGAAGAUACACAAGUAUAUUAUGUAUAAAAUAUUACCUUCAUACUUUUUCUAUUGAUUUGAUUAUGUUAACAAAUAUAUUAAGUACUUCUUCUAGAUAUACAAAAUUAUUAAAUUAAUUUUUUUUUAUAUAUUUUUAUUUAUGAUAACUAAAUAAGAUCUAAAUAUCAAAUAUUAAUAUACAUGUAUGAUAUAUAAUAGCACUUAAUUAUUAUGGAAAUAUCAUAAAAAACUUGCGGUAAGAAUGAUUAUUAAAUUAACUUUUUAUGUAUUUUUAUUUAUAAUAAGUAAAUAAGAUCUAAAUGCCAAAUAUAAAUAUACAUGUAUUCAAAGGCUAUUCAGGAUUUCGGAAGGAUGGGCGCACUAUUACGAAAAAAUACAAGAUAUAAAUUUAAUUGUUUUAGAAUAAUACUUCCUCUGUUUACUUUAACUUAUCCGGUAUACAAAAAUAUUUUUUCUCUUUGAUUUUAACUUUUAACUUUUCAAGAAAAUAUAAUUAUUUUUUUCAUAUUUCAUCUUUAAUAUUAAUUACUUAUUUCUUAAAUUAUUUUUGAAGACUUAAUAAUUAAUAGAAUAUUAUAGUUUUGAAUAUGCUAAAUCUGACGAGGUAUAACUAAAACGAAGGAGUAUUUCUUACUUAGGAGCACAACAUGAUAAGUAAGAAAGCAGUCAAAGUUGCUGCCCAACACAACCUUCGUCUUCACUGAUCAUCAAUCUGGUCAACUUUGUCAGUCCUAAAACCCUAGUUUUUCGCUUUUCCAAUUCAUAAAUAAAUGGAAACUACUCAACCUCUAUUUAGUUGCCAUAUAUUGGCGAUUCCAUAUCCAGGUAGAGGCCACAUCAAUCCUUUGAUGAAUCUGUGCAAGCUCAUAGCUACAACGUCCAAACCAAAUCAUCUACUACAAAUCUCUUUUAUUGUAACUGAAGAGUGGUUCAGCUUUUUGAAAUCAGAGCCAAAACCAGAUAAUAUUCAAUUUCAAACAAUUCCAAAUGUAAUUCCAUCAGAAAAGGAUCGAAGCAAAGAUUUGUUGGGGUUCGUGGAAGCUGUGUAUACUAAGAUGGAAGCUCCCAUUGAUAGUAUACUUGACGGGCUUCCGAAGCCCAAUGUGAUUUUAGCUGAUUCGUUAUUGCCGUGGGCCGUCGGUAUUGGGGAACGGAGAAAUAUUCCGGUGGCUUCAUUUUGGACCAUGUCUGCCACGGUUUUCUCCAUCCUUCAUCACCAUCAACUACUCUUGGCUAAUGGACAUUUUGAAGUCAAUUUGGCAGGUAUACUUGUUUUUAAGUUGUUAGAUUGAUGCCCUGUUUGAAUAUUGUUGGUUGAAGGACACAAUUGGUUGUCACAACUUUUUAUUAUAUUACAAUUUUGAUCACUCACUUGUUGCUUGCUUUAGCAAUACUCUUUACUUAACACUCACUAUUAUUUUCUUACUUGAUUACUUGGUUACAAUUCAAAUGAAUCACCUCUAUUUAUUGAUAGUGAUAGAAGAAUCUAGCUAAAGAUUUUUCUACUAUGUUCUGUUCUUCUAACUACCUAUUUUUAUAACUAUUUUUUUUAGAACAUUUCUAGACUUUUGUUUCAAGAAUAUGCAUUCUUGUAUUUCUUUACAACUCAUUAAUAUUCUAGAUUCUUCUUUGAAAUAUCUUGGAAAUUAAUUAAGAUGGUGAUCAAUUCUUAAUAUGCAUGUCAUGUAAUUGUAACCUUAACAGUUUGAUAUAACUGCAAACAUAUUUCCUUUCCACCGGGCGGUGUCGGCUGAGUUAGAAUUUUGCAUUAAAAAAAAAGAAAUAGUUUAUUAAGCUUUGAAAACAUUAUUAACAUAUAUUAAAACAACCGUGUAACAUGCAUAUAAAAUAUGAAUUAAAAUUAUUGGCUUCUUAAUGUCAAAAUUAGAUGUGUCAAAAAUGAGCUCAAUUAUAGGUAACCCGCUCAUAAUUUUAAGGGUUGGAUUCCAUCUCAACUCAUUCAAACUUUAGCUUAUUUUCAAAUAAUCCUCAAUUGAGCCUAAUUUAAUCUCCAAUUUCAACAUGUUUUAAGACUCUUUAUUUGCAUUGAUGUAAUGUAUGUACCUAUAUUAAAUGUAUGAAUUACUAUCUAUUUUAUAUCUUUUAGGAUUUAUCUAUUUAUUUUUAAGUUCUUUUUUAAAAUUUUCAUGAAUUAAAAUUCAAAUAGUGGUUAUAAAACUUAAAUAAGAAUGUAUUAAAAUUAUUGAGAUUAAGCGGAUCAAGAUUCAACCCGUUUUAAAGCCCAUUUGAGCUCAAAAUAAACCUGGGCGGGUCAGUAUCCAACCCAAUUUCUAUUUCUACCCAUUUUAAUAUUUUUGAUUUCAACCCAAUCCACCCAUUUGACGCGCCUACUCAUAAUGAACAGAACAAGGAGAAGAGCUUGUAAAUUACAUUCCGGGGAUUACACCAAUUUGUGUAAAGGAUCUCCCACCUGUGUUCCACUGCAAAUACCGGGAGAUGUUGCACUUGAUUCUUGAAGUUGUAUUACAGUUGGUCAAUAUAGCACAAUACGCCCUGUUCACCACCAUUGAACCAUUGGAAUCUCAAGUAAUUGAGGCUUUACAAGCUGAAAUUCCAGUCCCCAUUUUCACAGUUGGUCCAACAAUCCCUUACUUGGAUACCGAAUUCAAGACUAACCAGCCUUGUCCUAACUACUUGUCAUGGCUUGAUGAUCAACCUAAGGACUCUGUUCUAUACAUAUCCCAAGGAAGUUUCUUGUCAGUAUCAAAUACACAGUUAGAUGAAAUUAUAGCGGGUGCGCACAGCAGUGGUGUCCGUACAUUUUGGGUGGCACGUGAAACUUCUUCCUUACUUAUAACAGAUGGAAUUGGGAAGAGGGGAAUCGUGGUGCCUUGGUGUGACCAAUUGAGAGUUUUGUGCCAUCCUAGUGUAGGUGGAUUUUGGUCGCAUUGUGGAUGGAAUUCAACCAAGGAAGGUGUGUUUGCUGGCGUUCCGUUUCUUACAUUCCCCAUUGUGGCUGAUCAAUUUACCAACAGUAAACAAAUAGUGGAGGACUGGAAGAUUGGGUGGAGAGUCAAUAAGGAAAGUGAGAACCUGGUUAAGAGAGAUAAAAUUGCUCUACUCGUGCAGAGUUUUAUGGACCUUGACAGCUAUCACGGAAGAGAAAUGAGGAAAAGAGCAAUGGGAAUACGAAAUAUCUUUCAAGAGGCAAUUGAAGGUGGAGCCAUUCAAGCAAAUAUUUACAAGUUCAUUCAGGAUAU
RNAcentral lists this long non-coding RNA (3991 nucleotides) under Solanum tuberosum (potato). RNAcentral's name for it is "long non-coding RNA (STUB_LNC002898)". Lineage: Eukaryota; Viridiplantae; Streptophyta; Magnoliopsida; Solanales; Solanaceae. The record is from RNAcentral.